This 582-nucleotide ribosomal RNA is filed under the name Pseudomonas sp. StFLB095. RNAcentral's name for it is "bacterial SSU rRNA". It matches the Rfam family "Bacterial small subunit ribosomal RNA", at positions 102 to 679 of the family's 1533-position model. Lineage: Bacteria; Pseudomonadati; Pseudomonadota; Gammaproteobacteria; Pseudomonadales; Pseudomonadaceae. The record is from RNAcentral.
ACGGGUGAGUAAUGCCUAGGAAUCUGCCUGGUAGUGGGGGACAACGUUUCGAAAGGAACGCUAAUACCGCAUACGUCCUACGGGAGAAAGCAGGGGACCUUCGGGCCUUGCGCUAUCAGAUGAGCCUAGGUCGGAUUAGCUAGUUGGUGAGGUAAUGGCUCACCAAGGCGACGAUCCGUAACUGGUCUGAGAGGAUGAUCAGUCACACUGGAACUGAGACACGGUCCAGACUCCUACGGGAGGCAGCAGUGGGGAAUAUUGGACAAUGGGCGAAAGCCUGAUCCAGCCAUGCCGCGUGUGUGAAGAAGGUCUUCGGAUUGUAAAGCACUUUAAGUUGGGAGGAAGGGUUGUAGAUUAAUACUCUGCAAUUUUGACGUUACCGACAGAAUAAGCACCGGCUAACUCUGUGCCAGCAGCCGCGGUAAUACAGAGGGUGCAAGCGUUAAUCGGAAUUACUGGGCGUAAAGCGCGCGUAGGUGGUUCGUUAAGUUGGAUGUGAAAUCCCCGGGCUCAACCUGGGAACUGCAUCCCAAACUGGCGAGCUAGAGUAUGGUAGAGGGUGGGUGGAAUUUCCUGUGUAGC